GGUUCCGUAGUGUAGUGGUUAUCACGUUCGCUUCAACAUCGCGAAAGGUCUCCCCGGGUUUGAUCCUGGACGGAACCA
Molecule: non-coding RNA, 78 nt
Organism: Trichonephila inaurata madagascariensis
Lineage: Eukaryota; Metazoa; Arthropoda; Arachnida; Araneae; Nephilidae
Source: the annotation of a GenBank genome assembly